This 445-nucleotide ribosomal RNA is filed under the name uncultured bacterium. Its description in RNAcentral is "bacterial SSU rRNA". It matches the Rfam family "Bacterial small subunit ribosomal RNA", at positions 9 to 490 of the family's 1533-position model. The record is from RNAcentral.
GAGUUUGAUCAUGGCUCAGAGCGAACGCUGGCGGCAUGCUUAACACAUGCAAGCCGCACGGGGGGUUUCGGUCCUUCAGUGGCGGACGGGUGGAGUAUCGCGUAGGGAUUUAUCGUUGGGUGGGGGAGUAACUGCGGGAAACUGCGGCUAAUACCGCAUGACGCCUUUGGGCCAAAGCCUGUGAGGGUGCCUGAUGAGGAGCCUGCGUCCGAUUAGUUAGUUGGUUGGGUAAUGGCUGACCAAGGCGAUGAUCGGUAGCUGGUCUGAGAGGAUGAUCAGCCACACUGGGACUGAGACACGGCCCAGACUCCUACGGGAGGCAGCAGUGGGGAAGUAUUGGACAAUGGGCGCAAGCCUGAUCCAGCAAUGCCGCGUGGAUGAAGAAGGUCUUCGGAUUGUAAAGUCCUUUCGGCGGGGACGAUGAUGACGGUACCCGCAGAAGAAG